GUCCACGCCAUAAACGAUGGAUACUUGGUGUUGGAGGUAUUGACCCCUCCAGUGCCGAAGCUAACGCGUUAAGUAUCCCGCCUGGGGAGUACGGUCGCAAGAUUAAAACUCAAAGAAAUUGACGGGGGCCCGCACAAGCGGUGGAGCAUGUGGUUCAAUUCGAUGCAACGCGAAAAACCUUACCUGGGUUUGACAUGUACUGGAAGGAUCCCAGAAAUGGGUCCGCCCGCAAGGGUCGGUACACAGGUGCUGCAUGGCUGUCGU
This 264-nucleotide ribosomal RNA is filed under the name uncultured bacterium. RNAcentral describes it as "partial 16S ribosomal RNA". It matches the Rfam family "Bacterial small subunit ribosomal RNA", at positions 793 to 1055 of the family's 1533-position model. The record is from RNAcentral.